Molecule: ribosomal RNA, 886 nt
Filed under: uncultured bacterium
Lineage: Bacteria
Description: bacterial SSU rRNA
Rfam family: Bacterial small subunit ribosomal RNA
Source: RNAcentral
AGAGUUUGAUCAUGGCUCAGGACGAACGCUGGCGGCGUGCCUAAUACAUGCAAGUCGAGCGAGCUUGCCUAGAUGAUUUUAGUGCUUGCACUAAAUGAAACUAGAUACAAGCGAGCGGCGGACGGGUGAGUAACACGUGGGUAACCUGCCCAAGAGACUGGGAUAACACCUGGAAACAGAUGCUAAUACCGGAUAACAACACUAGACGCAUGUCUAGAGUUUGAAAGAUGGUUCUGCUAUCACUCUUGGAUGGACCUGCGGUGCAUUAGCUAGUUGGUAAGGUAACGGCUUACCAAGGCAAUGAUGCAUAGCCGAGUUGAGAGACUGAUCGGCCACAUUGGGACUGAGACACGGCCCAAACUCCUACGGGAGGCAGCAGUAGGGAAUCUUCCACAAUGGACGAAAGUCUGAUGGAGCAACGCCGCGUGAGUGAAGAAGGGUUUCGGCUCGUAAAGCUCUGUUGGUAGUGAAGAAAGAUAGAGGUAGUGACUGGCCUUUAUUUGACGGUAAUUACUUAGAAAGUCACGGCUAACUACGUGCCAGCAGCCGCGGUAAUACGUAGGUGGCAAGCGUUGUCCGGAUUUAUUGGGCGUAAAGCGAGUGCAGGCGGUUCAAUAAGUCUGAUGUGAAAGCCUUCGGCUCAACCGGAGAAUUGCAUCAGAAACUGUUGAACUUGAGUGCAGAAGAGGAGAGUGGAACUCCAUGUGUAGCGGUGGAAUGCGUAGAUAUAUGGAAGAACACCAGUGGCGAAGGCGGCUCUCUGGUCUGCAACUGACGCUGAGGCUCGAAAGCAUGGGUAGCGAACAGGAUUAGAUACCCUGGUAGUCCAUGCCGUAAACGAUGAGUGCUAAGUGUUGGGAGGUUUCCGCCUCUCAGUGCUGCAGCU